RNAcentral lists this non-coding RNA (30 nucleotides) under Mus musculus (house mouse). The record is from RNAcentral. Lineage: Eukaryota; Metazoa; Chordata; Mammalia; Rodentia; Muridae.
UUCAAAGUGCUGGAUAGACAGCAGCUUCUG